ACAGCAGUAGCCGCGGUAAUACAGAGGAUGCAAGCGUUGUCCGGAAUUAUUGGGCGUAAAGGGCUCGCAGGCGGUUUCUUAAGUCUGAUGUGAAAGCCCCCGGCUCAACCGGGGAGGGUCAUUGGAAACUGGGAAACUUGAGUGCAGAAGAGGAGAGUGGAAUUCCACGUGUAGCGGUGAAAUGCGUAGAGAUGUGGAGGAACACCAGUGGCGAAGGCGACUCUCUGGUCUGUAACUGACGCUGAGGAGCGAAAGCGUGGGGAGCGAACAGGAUUAGAUACCCCUGUAGUCCCUGUCUCUUAUAA
This 305-nucleotide ribosomal RNA is filed under the name uncultured bacterium. RNAcentral's name for it is "partial 16S ribosomal RNA". It matches the Rfam family "Bacterial small subunit ribosomal RNA", at positions 508 to 809 of the family's 1533-position model. The record is from RNAcentral.